Molecule: long non-coding RNA, 1577 nt
Filed under: Vigna radiata
Lineage: Eukaryota; Viridiplantae; Streptophyta; Magnoliopsida; Fabales; Fabaceae
Description: long non-coding RNA (VRAD_LNC010622)
Source: RNAcentral
CAUUUUUGUUAGAACAUAAUUGUUAUGUUAUUUCUUUAUUUUUAUAUUUUUUGCCUAUGGGCAAAAGGGUCUUUUACCUUUAUUUAAUUAGUGUAGAAAUUAAUUAAGAGAUGGUGUAGAAAGGAAAAGUAUGCAAAUUAAAUAAUCUGAUUAUUUAAUUAAAUAAUAUUAUGUAAAUCUUUUAAAAUAUUUAGUUGUUAUUUUAAAAGUUAGUUAAAUGAAAAUAGGAGAUAUAAUAUUGGUGGGUUUAAAGAUUAAGAGAAAUAUUAUUAUUAGAUAAAAUCAUUAUUAGAUAUUGUAGAUUUUAAAAAGAUUUGGUGGUUGAUGAUAUUUUAAAAAGUAGUUAAGAUAGAAUAAAAGAGGAAAUCUUAGUGGUUUUAGAUAUAAACUGAGAGAUUUUAUUAAUAUUAAAAGGAUAUUGGAAAAGAGUAAAAAGGGGUUGUCAUUUUGCUACCCUAAGAGGAAAAAACGAAAAUUAUAAAGAUAAGGGAGAGAAAAGAAGUUUUCUAAGAGAAAAUAGAGUUGAGAACGGGGCAUCAAAAAAUGGGAGGACCAUCGGUGACGUUGAGAAGCUUUCUUGGUGAUUUUGGAAACAAAAGUUGUACGAGACCAGGUAAGGGGAGUGACUAGAAUUAUCUUGUGUGUAUGGUUUGCCAUUGUAUGGUAUUCUUUAUUAUAUGUUGCAAUCUUAUGGUUUUUGGGGUGUAUGGUAAAUUUGGAGUGAUGAUGAUGAUGGGUGACGUGAAAGUGUGGUUAGUGGAAAGGAAAGAAGAGAGGAAUGACUUGUGGAGGAACCAUGGAUUUAAUAGGACAUUACGUGAGAGUGAGGAUAGGAGUGUGGACGAUGAUGAUCUGGUAAUGAUGACUCUUUUAGCCGUGUGAUGCGGGAAAGAAAUUCUCUUCGGCCAUGUGAUGCAGGAAGAGGAUGGUCUAAUAGUGGUGAAUCUUCGUUCGGGUGAUGCGGGAAAGAGAUUUUAUUUGGAUGUGUGAUACGGGAAGAGGAUGUCGUGUGACUCAUAAUGAAUUAGUUAUGGUGGUUAAGUGGUGUGGUAGUGUAGAGGAAAAAGACCAUUGAGUGUUGAUGUUAUUGUUGUUAUGUUAGUGUGUGAUGUUAAUUUGGUGAUAAUAUAUGUUUAUGAUUUGGUUAUUAUUGUGGUUAAUAUAAUUGUAUAUUGUAUGAUAAGAUAAUUUUGGUUGCUCACCCUGAAAGUUGUGGUUGUGGUUUCCACCUACGAUGAUCGUACUUGUACGGGAGUAGAUGGCUUGCAGAUAAGACUGGAUCUGAGUAGCUGACGGGAGUUGAGAUGUUAUGUUCGGGAAUAUAUUAUUUACUUUCUAUUAUUUAAAAGUUUUUCUGGUUUGGUAUAUUUAUGUAAAAGUGAUAUUCUAAGAUUUUCAAACAACUGUUAUGGUUAUGUUUAGCUUCCGCAUUUUUAAUCGAAUAAAGAUUAUUUUCUUUCAUUGAAUGUUUUAUAGAAAGGUUUUGAAAAAACAUUACACCGUGAUAUCUAAAAAAUUUGGGAUGUUACAUAUGCUCCCCCUAUCAUAUAUAUUCACAUGAAAAAGAUAACUCCCCC